Molecule: ribosomal RNA, 669 nt
Filed under: uncultured marine bacterium
Lineage: Bacteria
Description: bacterial SSU rRNA
Rfam family: Bacterial small subunit ribosomal RNA
Source: RNAcentral
GCGCCUAAUACUGCAAGUCGAACGAAGUAGCAAUACUUAGUGGCAGACGGGUGAGUAACAUGUGGGUAUCUUCCCUUUGGUGAGGAAUAACACGAGGAAACUUGUGCUAAUACCUCAUAAGUCUUUACGGAGAAAGCUUUAUGCGCCAAUGGAUGAGCCCGCACUUGAUUAGUUUGUUGGUAGGGUAAUGGCCUACCAAGACUGUGAUCAAUAGCUGAUUUGAGAGGAUGAUCAGCCACAUUGGGACUGAGACACGGCCCAAACUCCUACGGGAGGCAGCAGUAGGGAAUCUUGCACAAUGGAGGAAACUCUGAUGCAGCGAUGCCGCGUGAGUGAAGAAGGCCCUUGGGUUGUAAAGCUCUUUCGUCGGGGAAGAAAAUGACUGUACCCGAAUAAGAAGGUCCGGCUAACUUCGUGCCAGCAGCCGCGGUAAUACGAAGGGACCUAGCGUAGUUCGGAAUUACUGGGCUUAAAGAGCUCGUAGGUGGUUAAAAAAGUUGGUGGUGAAAGCCCAGAGCUUAACUCUGGAACUGCCAUCAAAACUUUUUAGCUAGAGUUUGAUAGAGGAAAGCAGAAUUUCUAGUGUAGAGGUGAAAUUCGUAGAUAUUAGAAAGAAUACCAAUUGCGAAGGCAGCUUUCUGGAUCAUUACUGACACUGAGGAACGAAAG